RNAcentral lists this ribosomal RNA (253 nucleotides) under uncultured bacterium. Its description in RNAcentral is "partial 16S ribosomal RNA". It matches the Rfam family "Bacterial small subunit ribosomal RNA", at positions 524 to 776 of the family's 1533-position model. The record is from RNAcentral.
UACGAAGGGGGCUAGCGUUGUUCGGAGUUACUGGGCGUAAAGGGCGCGUAGGCGGCGCACCAAGUCAGGCGUGAAAGCCCUGGGCUCAACCCGGGAAUUGCGCUUGAGACUGGUGUGCUUGAGUACGGGAGAGGAUAGUGGAAUUCCCAGUGUAGAGGUGAAAUUCGUAGAUAUUGGGAGGAACACCGGUGGCGAAGGCGGCGACCUGGGUAGAUACUGACGCUGAGGCGCGAAAGCGUGGGGAGCAAACAGG